RNAcentral lists this long non-coding RNA (233 nucleotides) under Carica papaya (papaya). RNAcentral's name for it is "long non-coding RNA (CPAP_LNC011706)". Lineage: Eukaryota; Viridiplantae; Streptophyta; Magnoliopsida; Brassicales; Caricaceae. The record is from RNAcentral.
AUUGAUUAUUUGGCAGUGUGAAACUAAAUUAUUGUUUAAAUGAACGAUAAGUAUAAAAUGAUAUAUGGUUAUUGCAUGAUUGAUUAUUAUGCUAAUGGAAAUCUGUAUAGGGAAGACUUACUGGGUACCCAGAUAAGGACGGAUGGACCCGGUACAUAAGGAACCCUAUCGUGAACGUUACCGCAGUCAGACGGGGUUGGAAAAUCCUUUACCAGGAAAGUUUGGGAGAUAUG